UUUAAAAUUUAUAAAGAAUGUAUUUUGGGUCAGGGGCUGUAACUCAGUGUACAGUGCUUGCCUAGUGUGUGUGAGGCACUGGAUUUCAUCCUCAGCACAAAUUUUAAAAAAAUAAAUAAGUAACAAUAUUGUGUUCAUCUACAACUAAAAAAAUAAAGCAUUUUGCUCCAGUGGCUGAUUACUUCAUGUUAUGCCUCUUCUAGAUCCUCUAGCUCCUCACUGAUAUUCUUCAAAGGAAAAAGCUUAAAGAGCAUCCAUAUAGGUCAUGGGGAAUUACUUAAGAAUUGUAAACAAGAAUGGACGAUAUUGCAUUUGCUGCUUUAUCUCCAAGUCAAAAAGAACUUCUGGCACAUAAUAACUACUCAAUAAACAUUUGAUGGAUAGGGGCUGAGGUUGUGGCUCAGUGAUAGAUUGCUUGCCUAGCAUGUGUGAGGCACUGGGUUCGAACCUUAGCACCAUAUAAAAAUAAAUAAAUAAAAAGAUAUAAAAAAUUUGAUGGCUAAAUUCAUGAAUUAUGUUAAGAAGGGGGAGACUUGAGCACGAAUGUUCAUUUGUCGGGUAGAGGGCUAAGAGGUCUUAAGAGGAAGAAUUGAAGGUCUAGAGGAGAAAGGUAGGAUAGAAUGUGGUCUCACUGAGUCAGUGAAGUUUGAGAUCCCAAGCUACUGGAGAAAUCAUCCAGGAUAGAGUGACUGUUUAAACAGAAGGGAAGGAGGAAAGGACAGGAACAAAGGCAGAUAUUUAUAGGUGGUAGAGGAGGAACUUGUGGGAGUCCUUUCUUGAUGGCCUUAGGAGUAUUCUUUCAUUUAAAAAUAGUGAAUGUAUAUGUCUAUGGAAAACUCUUUGUAGAGAGUUAAAAAAAAAAAAAAAAAAAAAAACCAACCCACCCCUGUUUAAGCAGCUAUGGAAAGUCAUAGCCACAUAAUUGUAGGCACACACAAGGUUGUGGUCAGUGACCUAAAGGGUAGGUGAGGUAAGGAUGUGCCAGAGAGGAUGAGUAAGAGUAGGGGAGACAAGAGGGCUCUGGUCUCUGGCCUGAAUGUUGGGUGUGGCUGGGAGCUGACAGAAGGGAAUGUGCACACCUAUGUGCCGCUGUUUUUCUCUGCUCUACAAGUAGCAGGAGACUAUCCUUAAGCUCUUAGUGAAGUGGGGUAAGAAAGGGCAGUACAUGAGGCAGUACAAGAAUGAACAGAAACUUGAACCUUGAGUGAAGUGGAGUCACUUAGUUAGCAGUGCUUGGGUCUUCCCCAGACUGGUUUUCCAAUGAUCUAUUUCUGAU
RNAcentral lists this long non-coding RNA (1276 nucleotides) under Marmota monax (woodchuck). Lineage: Eukaryota; Metazoa; Chordata; Mammalia; Rodentia; Sciuridae. The record is from RNAcentral.